GAUGAACGCUGGCGGCGUGCUUAACACAUGCAAGUCGAACGGAAAGGCCCAAGCUUGCUUGGGUACUCGAGUGGCGAACGGGUGAGUAACACGUGGGUGAUCUGCCCUGCACUUCGGGAUAAGCCGGGGAAACUGGGUCUAAUACCGGAUAGGACCACUUCUUGGAUGUUGUGGUGGAAAGUUUUUCGGUGUGGGAUGAGCUCGCGGCCUAUCAGCUUGUUGGUGGGGUAAUGGCCUACCAAGGCGUCGACGGGUAGCCGGCCUGAGAGGGUGUACGGCCACAUUGGGACUGAGAUACGGCCCAGACUCCUACGGGAGGCAGCAGUGGGGAAUAUUGCACAAUGGGCGCAAGCCUGAUGCAGCGACGCCGCGUGGGGGAUGACGGCCUUCGGGUUGUAAGCUCCUUUCGCUAGGGACGAAGCUUAUUUUGUGACGGUACCUGGAGAAGAAGCACCGGCUAACUACGUG
Molecule: ribosomal RNA, 468 nt
Filed under: uncultured bacterium
Lineage: Bacteria
Description: partial 16S ribosomal RNA
Rfam family: Bacterial small subunit ribosomal RNA
Source: RNAcentral